ACGAACGCUGGCGGCGUGCCUAAUACAUGCAAGUCGAGCGGAAUGAUGAAGAAGCUUGCUUCUUCUGAUUUUAGCGGCGGACGGGUGAGUAACACGUGGGCAACCUACCUUGUAGAUUGGGAUAACUCCGGGAAACCGGGGCUAAUACCGAAUAAUCCAUUUUGCUUCAUGGCGAGAUGUUGAAAGACGGUUUCGGCUGUCACUACAGGAUGGGCCCGCGGCGCAUUAGCUAGUUGGUAAGGUAAUGGCUUACCAAGGCGACGAUGCGUAGCCGACCUGAGAGGGUGAUCGGCCACACUGGGACUGAGACACGGCCCAGACUCCUACGGGAGGCAGCAGUAGGGAAUCUUCCACAAUGGACGAAAGUCUGAUGGAGCAGCGCCGCGUGAGUGAAGAAGGUUUUCGGAUCGUAAAACUCUGUUGUAAGGGAAGAACACGUACGAGAGUAACUGCUCGUACCUUGACGGUACCUUAUUAGAAAGCCACGGCUAACUACGUG
RNAcentral lists this ribosomal RNA (499 nucleotides) under uncultured bacterium. RNAcentral's name for it is "bacterial SSU rRNA". It matches the Rfam family "Bacterial small subunit ribosomal RNA", at positions 29 to 507 of the family's 1533-position model. The record is from RNAcentral.